CUAUACAUGCAGUCGAGCGAAUGAUAGGGAGCUUGCUCCCUUGAUUUAGCGGCGGACGGGUGAGUAACACGUGGGCAACCUACCUGUAAGACUGGGAUAACUUCGGGAAACCGGAGCUAAUACCGGAUACUUUCUUUUCUCGCAUGAGAAGAGAUGGAAAGACGGUUUCGGCUGUCACUUACAGAUGGGCCCGCGGCGCAUUAGCUAGUUGGUGAGGUAAUGGCUCACCAAGGCCACGAUGCGUAGCCGACCUGAGAGGGUGAUCGGCCACACUGGGACUGAGACACGGCCCAGACUCCUACGGGAGGCAGCAGUAGGGAAUCUUCCGCAAUGGACGAAAGUCUGACGGAGCAACGCCGCGUGAACGAAGAAGGCCUUCGGGUCGUAAAGUUCUGUUGUUAGGGAAGAACAAGUACCAGAGUAACUGCUGGUACCUUGACGGUACCUAACCAGAAAGCCACGGCUAACUACGUGCCAGCAGCCGCGGUAAUACGUAGGUGGCAAGCGUUGUCCGGAAUUAUUGGGCGUAAAGCGCGCGCAGGUGGUUCCUUAAGUCUGAUGUGAAAGCCCACGGCUCAACCGUGGAGGGUCAUUGGAAACUGGGGAACUUGAGUGCAGAAGAGGAAAGUGGAAUUCCACGUGUAGCGGUGAAAUGCGUAGAGAUGUGGAGGAACACCAGUGGCGAAGGCGACUUUCUGGUCUGUAACUGACACUGAGGCGCGAAAGCGUGGGGAGCGAACAGGAUUAGAUACCCUGGUAGUCCACGCCGUAAACGAUGAGUGCUAAGUGUUAGAGGGUUUCCGCCCUUUAGUGCUGCAGCUAACGCAUUAAGCACUCCGCCUGGGGAGUACGGCCGCAAGGCUGAAACUCAAAGGAAUUGACGGGGGCCCGCACAAGCGGUGGAGCAUGUGGUUUAAUUCGAAGCAACGCGAAGAACCUUACCAGGUCUUGACAUCCUUUUGCCCUUCCCUAGAGAUAGGAACUUCCCUUCGGGGACAAAAGUGACAGGUGGUGCAUGGUUGUCGUCAGCUCGUG
RNAcentral lists this ribosomal RNA (1035 nucleotides) under Peribacillus muralis. RNAcentral's name for it is "bacterial SSU rRNA". It matches the Rfam family "Bacterial small subunit ribosomal RNA", at positions 49 to 1064 of the family's 1533-position model. Lineage: Bacteria; Bacillati; Bacillota; Bacilli; Caryophanales; Bacillaceae. The record is from RNAcentral. RNAcentral also lists the same sequence under 1 other name.